UACGGGGGGGGGCAAGCGUUGUUCGGAAUUACUGGGCGUAAAGGGCUCGUAGGCGGCCAACUAAGUCAGACGUGAAAUCCCUCGGCUUAACCGGGGAACUGCGUCUGAUACUGGAUGGCUCGAGAUUGGGAGAGGGAUGCGGAAUUCCAGGUGUAGCGGUGAAAUGCGUAGAUAUCGAGAGGAACACCUGCGGCGAAGACGGGUAGCUGGGCCGACACUGACGCUGAGGCGCGAAAGCCAGGGGAGCGAACGGG
Molecule: ribosomal RNA, 254 nt
Filed under: uncultured bacterium
Lineage: Bacteria
Description: partial 16S ribosomal RNA
Rfam family: Bacterial small subunit ribosomal RNA
Source: RNAcentral